Molecule: ribosomal RNA, 464 nt
Filed under: uncultured bacterium
Lineage: Bacteria
Description: bacterial SSU rRNA
Rfam family: Bacterial small subunit ribosomal RNA
Source: RNAcentral
CCUACGGGUCGCAGCAGUAGGGAAUCUUCGGCAAUGGACGAAAGUCUGACCGAGCAACGCCGCGUGAGUGAAGAAGGUUUUCGGAUCGUAAAACUCUGUUGUUAGAGAAGAACAAGUAGGAGAGUAACUGCUCUUACCUUGACGGUAUCUAACCAGAAAGCCACGGCUAACUACGUGCCAGCAGCCGCGGUAAUACGUAGGUGGCAAGCGUUGUCCGGAUUUAUUGGGCGUAAAGCGAGCGCAGGCGGUCUUUUAAGUCUGAUGUGAAAGCCCUCGGCUCAACCGAGGAAGGUCAUUGGAAACUGGAGGACUUGAGUGCAGAAGAGGAGAGUGGAAUUCCAUGUGUAGCGGUGAAAUGCGUAGAUAUAUGGAGGAACACCAGUGGCGAAGGCGACUCUCUGUCUGUAACUGACGCUGAGGCUCGUAAGCGUGGGGAGCAAACAGGAUUAGAUACCCUUGUAGUC